GAUGAACGCUGGCGGCGUGCCUAAUACAUGCCAGUCGAGCGAACGGACGAGAAGCUUGCUUCUCUGAUGUUAGCGGCGGACGGGUGAGUAACACGUGGAUAACCUACCUAUAAGACUGGGAUAACUUCGGGAAACCGGAGCUAAUACCGGAUAAUAUUUUGAACCGCAUGGUUCAAAAGUGAAAGACGGUCUUGCUGUCACUUAUAGAUGGAUCCGCGCUGCAUUAGCUAGUUGGUAAGGUAACGGCUUACCAAGGCAACGAUGCAUAGCCGACCUGAGAGGGGGAGCGGCAAAACGGGAACUGGGACCCGGUCGAGCCUCCUAGGGGGGGAACAAGGGGGGAUUCUCCAGAAAGGGGGGAAGGCCGGACGGAGCAACGCCGGGUGAGUAAGGAAGGUUUUCGGAUCGAAAAACUCUGUUAUGGGGGAAAAACAUAUGGGAAAGUAACUGUGCCCAUCUGGACGUUACCUAAUAAAAAAGCCCCGGCUAACUACGUG
This 497-nucleotide ribosomal RNA is filed under the name uncultured bacterium. Its description in RNAcentral is "partial 16S ribosomal RNA". It matches the Rfam family "Bacterial small subunit ribosomal RNA", at positions 28 to 507 of the family's 1533-position model. The record is from RNAcentral.